This 1360-nucleotide ribosomal RNA is filed under the name uncultured bacterium. RNAcentral's name for it is "partial 16S ribosomal RNA". It matches the Rfam family "Bacterial small subunit ribosomal RNA". The record is from RNAcentral.
GUUUGAUCCUGGCUCAGGACGAACGCUUGCGGCGUGCCUAACACAUGCAAGUCGAGCGAAUGAAGUUCCUUCGGGAACGGAUUUAGCGGCGGACGGGUGAGUAACACGUGGGCAACCUGCCUCAUAGAGGGGAAUAGCCUUCCGAAAGGGAGAUUAAUACCGCAUAAGAUUGUAGUACCGCAUGGUACAGCAAUUAAAGGAGCAAUCCGCUAUGAGAUGGGCCCGCGGCGCAUCUGCUAGUUGGUGAGGUAACGGCUCACCAAGGCGACGAUGCGUAGCCGACCUGAGAGGGUGAUCGGCCACAUUGGGACUGAGACACGGCCCACACUCCUACGGGAGGCAGCAGUGGGGAAUAUUGCACGAUGGGGGAAACCCUGAUGCACCAACGCCGCGUGAGUGAUGACGGCCUUCGGGUUGUAAAGCUCUGUCUUCAGGGACGAUAAUGACGGUACCUGAGGAGGAAGCCACGGCUAACUACGUGCCAGCAGCCGCGGUAAUACGUAGGUGGCGAGCGUUGUCCGGAUUUACUGGGCAUAAAGGGUGCGUAGGCGGCAAGUUAAGUUUAAGGUAUAAGCUCAUGGCUCAACCAUGGGAGGCUUUAGAAACUGGCUAGCUAGAGUGCAGUAGAGGCAAGUGGAAUUCCAUGUGUAGCGGUAAAAUGCGUAAAUAUAUGGAGGAACACCAGUAGCGAAGGCGGCUUGCUGGGCUGUAACUGACGCUAAGGCACGAAAGCGUGGGGAGCAAACAAGAUUAGAUACCCUGGUAGUCCACGCCGUAAACGAUGAGUACUAAGUGUCGGGGGAAUCUCGGUGCUGAAGCAAAUGUAAUAAGUACUCCGCCUGAGUAGUACGUGCGCAAGCAUGAAACUCAAAGGAAUUGACGGGACCCUGCACAAGCGGUGGAUCAUGUUGUUUAAUUCGAGGAUACGCGAAGAACCUUACCAGGCCUUGACAUCCUCUGCAAAGCUAUAGAGAUAUAGUGGAGGUUAACAGAGAGACAGGUGGUGCACGGUUGUCGUCAGCUCGUGUCGUGAGAUGUUGGGUUAAGUCCCGUAACGAGCGCAACCCUUGUUGCUAGUUGCCAUCAUUAAGUUGGGGACUCUAGCGAGACUGCCAGUGAUAAACUGGAGGAAGGCGGGGAUGACGUCAAAUCAUCAUGCCCCUUAUGGCCUGGGCUACAAACGUGAUACAAUAGCCGGUACAGAGGGCAGCCACCUGGUGACAGGGAGCAAAUCUCCAAAGCCGGUCUCAGUUCGGAUCGAAGUCUGCAACUCGACUUCGUGAAGUUGGAUUCGCUAGUAAUCGUAUAUCAGCAACGAUACGGUGAAUACGUUCCCGGGCCUUGUACACACCGCCCGUCA